Brachypodium distachyon (stiff brome) is the source of this 1068-nucleotide long non-coding RNA. RefSeq lists it as uncharacterized. NCBI's taxonomy places the organism in Eukaryota, Viridiplantae, Streptophyta, Magnoliopsida, Poales, Poaceae. The transcript is spliced from 2 exons. The record is from RefSeq and is a predicted model, not a curated record.
CCGGUCGAUGGGAAGCUGAUAGCAACAGGGACAACGAACAGCAUUGUCAAAAGCAGAGAGAUGGGGAGUGGUGGGAGACCACGGCGGCAUGACACCGAUAGAUGGAUCCCGCUGAGAAAAUUAAUAAAGGAGCGAGCUUCUUUUAAUCCCCUUCCUUCCUUGACUGGUGGUGUGAGAGAGUGGUGACCAGUGACCACCACCUAACCUUCUCCUGCUCUCGCCUCUCGGCGUUAUAAAAGCGACUGGCGACCAAAGAGAGGUGAGUACUCUGUUCGUUCCAUGGCGCGCGCCCACGAAGAAGCAGAAGCUCCUCUGUUCAUCGCCGGCUUCUGGACGUCGGCCGGGCUUGGAUUUUGGGAGCUAGGCUGAUGCUGGCGUGGGCCAAGUACUCCUGCUUCGUGGAUCUCCGUAGUCUGUCCCCUGAUGAUGAUGAGGGAGGCAUGAUUGAUGGCUUUGAUUUGAUUGAGAUGCAUGUGUAAUCGGCGCCGGUCGGUUCGGCGGCACGGGAUUGGUUCGUCCCGCUGAAGAGCUGCGGAACAACAGAAGGCACACAGCCCGAGGUCGACCGGCGGAUCGUAUAUAUGCUUCUACAGAGCCCAUCGUGUGUGUGGUUCCAUCCAUGUCAUGCUUUUGCUCGGCGGAAUCCUCUCCCUCCCUGUGGAUUUCCAUCAAGGACGGCCGACGGGAAAGAAACUUCAAUGCUGAUUCGCCCCGGUACACUGGCGGAGCUACCGCCCGGCCACGCCGGGCUGCCCGGGCUCGACGAAAAAUUUACACAUAAUUAGUGUAGUUAUCUGAAGGCUUAAUGGAUGUUUUUUUAAGCCAAAUGCUGAUUUAUGAAGGAUUUGCCCAGGCUUCAGAAGCAGCCUGGCUCCGCCGGAGCCCCCUGUACAUACAUUGCUCGAGUUUUUGAUCUUGUUUGUUCAGUUUGGGCUUCGACUUGUCUGGUUGGGGAUAAUUUGAGUAAUUUUCUCCGCCAACCCUCAUUUCCUCUUCUUUUUUCUUUCAUUUUUGUGCGAGGUGUUUGUUCACUUGGAAUUGAAGUUUGAAUGAUUCCAUCUCCAUUUA